UUAAAUGAACUCAGCCGUAACGC
Molecule: non-coding RNA, 23 nt
Filed under: Arabidopsis thaliana (thale cress)
Lineage: Eukaryota; Viridiplantae; Streptophyta; Magnoliopsida; Brassicales; Brassicaceae
Source: RNAcentral